RNAcentral lists this ribosomal RNA (436 nucleotides) under Mangatangi sp. MCZ IZ 129534. RNAcentral's name for it is "partial large subunit ribosomal RNA". It matches the Rfam family "Eukaryotic large subunit ribosomal RNA", at positions 1449 to 1849 of the family's 3401-position model. The record is from RNAcentral. Lineage: Eukaryota; Metazoa; Arthropoda; Arachnida; Opiliones; Neopilionidae.
UCUUGGUGGUGGUAGCAAAUACUCAAGUGAGAACCUUGAGGACUGAGGUGGAGAAGGGUUCCAUGUGAACAGCAGUUGAACAUGGGUCAGUCGGUCCUAAGGGAUAGGAGAAAUCCGUUCCGAGGCGGGACCUCUACUUACAGCAAGUCCCGCUGAUGACCGAAAGGGAAUCGGGUUAAUAUUCCCGAACCCGGACACGGAGAUCGUCCUCUUCGGAGGUACAUUGCGGUAACGCAAACGAGCUCGGAGACGUCGACGGGAGCACCGGGAAGAGUUAUCUUUUCUUUGUAAGGAUUCGACUCCCUGGAAUCGGCUCGCCCGGAGAUAGGGAUGGUGUUUCCGUAAAGCACCGCGCCUCUUGCGGUGUCCGGAUCGCUCCCGUCGGCCCUUGAAAAUUUAGAGUGAGAGAUAGUGAUUUUCGUGCCGGACCGUACCC